Dicentrarchus labrax (European seabass) is the source of this 303-nucleotide long non-coding RNA. RefSeq lists it as uncharacterized. The transcript is spliced from 3 exons. The record is from RefSeq and is a predicted model, not a curated record. NCBI's taxonomy places the organism in Eukaryota, Metazoa, Chordata, Actinopteri, Moronidae.
GCAUAAGAGCAUCUUGAAGACUUCUUGUGCUUCCAUCACAGUGAAUCAGAGGAGGACUAGAAAAAUACUAAUGAAAAUGAAAAGCUCCUAAUUUAACAUUUGACAAUCUCGUUUUUCUUUACAGAGGAACUGGCCCGGACUGAGAAGUCAUGUAGGAACGUGACAGUCAGGGGAAUUCAGGAGAAAGAAGCACAAUGUCUGACAGCAAUGACGUGUGGGAGUCACCCGGCUGUGGGACAAGAGAUGAGGACAAUAAAGACACAAGUGGAUUCUCUGAACAUGAACUCCUUGACAUCAUGUAUA